AUUGAACGCUGGCGGCAUGCUUUACACAUGCAAGUCGAACGGCAGCGCGGGCUUCGGCCUGGCGGCGAGUGGCGAACGGGUGAGUAAUGCAUCGGAACGUGCCCAGUAGCGGGGGAUAGCCCGGCGAAAGCCGGAUUAAUACCGCAUACGACCUGAGGGUGAACGCGGGGGACCGAAAGGCCUCGCGCUAUUGCAGCGGCCGAUGUCGGAUUAGCUAGUUGGUGGGGUAAAGGCUUACCAAGGCGACGAUCCGUAGCUGGUCUGAGAGGACGACCAGCCACACUGGGACUGAGACACGGCCCAGACUCCUACGGGAGGCAGCAGUGGGGAAUAUUGGACAAUGGGGGCAAGCCUGAUCCAGCCAUGCCGCGUGCGGGAAGAAGGCCUUCGGGUUGUAAACCGCUUUUGUUCGGGAAGAAAUCCUCUGGGCUAAUACCCCGGGGGGAUGACGGUACCGGAAGAAUAAGCACCGGCUAACUACGUG
This 484-nucleotide ribosomal RNA is filed under the name uncultured bacterium. Its description in RNAcentral is "partial 16S ribosomal RNA". It matches the Rfam family "Bacterial small subunit ribosomal RNA", at positions 28 to 507 of the family's 1533-position model. The record is from RNAcentral.